CUGAACAUAAUAUAAUAACAGUUUUUAACAAGGAUAAUAAAAUAAAACCACAAAGUACAAUUAUUAAAAAGUUAAAAUUCUAAGAAAUUAUACUUAAAGACUUACUCAAUUAUUUAUAUUUUUUCACUCAUUAAAAAUCUUUUCGGCAAGAUUGUUUCUAAAAAUUGUCCACUCAUUCGAACUGCUAAUAGUUGUGAUAGUGCCUUCCAUUGGUUCAUUUUUCGCCCCAACUCAAAUGGAUCAUUGGGCAUUUGAGUUGGGGCUUGAUGAUUGCCAGCACUUCAGUAGUUAAAUUAGAAGCUGUUUCUUUGCGCAGUACUUGGCAAGAGAUGCCUAACAGCUGAAAAAUUUUCACUGUUAAAGCAAAGUACAGAGAAUUUAUAUGAAGAAAUACUAAAGUCGAACAUUCUUCUAGCUCUUCUUACCCUAUAGUGUGGGGCUUACAUAUCCCACAACUACAACCACGGCUGCUCGACUUUUUACCUCCCUGUCCAGAACUUUUCGGAUUAAGCAUCCUUUUAAGACCUCUCCAAUAAGAUCUAC
RNAcentral lists this long non-coding RNA (543 nucleotides) under Panax ginseng (ginseng). Its description in RNAcentral is "long non-coding RNA (PGIN_LNC005745)". Lineage: Eukaryota; Viridiplantae; Streptophyta; Magnoliopsida; Apiales; Araliaceae. The record is from RNAcentral.